CACACGACUCUCGGCAACGGAUAUCUCGGCUCUCGCAUCGAUGAAGAACGUAGCAAAAUGCGAUACCUGGUGUGAAUCGCAGAAUCCCGUGAACCAUCGAGUCUUUGAACGCAAGUUGCGCCCGAGGCCAUUCGGCUGAGGGCACGCCUGCCUGGGCGUCACGC
RNAcentral lists this ribosomal RNA (164 nucleotides) under Oryza latifolia. Its description in RNAcentral is "5.8S ribosomal RNA". It matches the Rfam family "5.8S ribosomal RNA". Rfam says of the family: 5.8S ribosomal RNA (5.8S rRNA) is a component of the large subunit of the eukaryotic ribosome. Lineage: Eukaryota; Viridiplantae; Streptophyta; Magnoliopsida; Poales; Poaceae. The record is from RNAcentral.